GAUGAACGCUAGCUACAGGCUUAACACAUGCAAGUCGAGGGGAAACGGGAGGAUAGCUUGCUAUCUUCGCAGUCGACCGGCGCACGGGCGAGUACCGCGUAUCUAACCUGCCAUCCCGCGGAGGAUAGCCUUUCGCAAGAAAGCAUAAUACUCCAUGACCGCCUACGAGGACACCUGACGAGGCACAAAGAUUGAUCGCUGGUUGAUGGGGAUGCGUCUGAUUAAGCAGCUGGGGGGGGAACGGCCCACCAAACCGACGAUCAGUAGGGGUUCUGAGAGGAAGGUCCCCCACAUUGGAACUGGGACACGGUCCAAACUCCUACGGGAGGCAGCAGUGAGGAAUAUUGGUCAAUGGACGUAAGUCUGAACCAGCCAAGUAGCGUGCAGGAUGACGGCCCUAUGGGUUGUAAACUGCUUUUAUGCGGGGGUAAAGUGAGUGACGUGUCAUUCAUUGCAAGUACCGCAAGAAUAAGGACCGGCUAAUUCCGUGCCAGCCGCCGCCGUAA
This 506-nucleotide ribosomal RNA is filed under the name uncultured bacterium. Its description in RNAcentral is "partial 16S ribosomal RNA". It matches the Rfam family "Bacterial small subunit ribosomal RNA", at positions 28 to 523 of the family's 1533-position model. The record is from RNAcentral.